This 72-nucleotide transfer RNA is filed under the name Phrynosoma platyrhinos (Desert horned lizard). RNAcentral's name for it is "tRNA-OTHER". The record is from RNAcentral. Lineage: Eukaryota; Metazoa; Chordata; Lepidosauria; Squamata; Phrynosomatidae.
GCCAGCGUGGCACACUGGUUUGAGUACUGAACUAUGACUCUGGAAACCAGGGUUCGAUUCCCAGCUCAGCCA